GCCGCUGUGGCGGAACAGGCAGACGCCCGGGAUUUAAAAUCCCGUGAUGUAUUACAUCGUACCGGUUCGAUCCCGGUCAGCGGCACCA
RNAcentral lists this transfer RNA (88 nucleotides) under Clostridiales bacterium. RNAcentral's name for it is "tRNA-Leu". It matches the Rfam family "tRNA". Rfam says of the family: Transfer RNA (tRNA) molecules are approximately 80 nucleotides in length. Their secondary structure includes four short double-helical elements and three loops (D, anti-codon, and T loops). Lineage: Bacteria; Bacillati; Bacillota; Clostridia; Eubacteriales. The record is from RNAcentral.